This 1124-nucleotide long non-coding RNA is filed under the name Anas platyrhynchos platyrhynchos (common mallard). RNAcentral's name for it is "lncRNA (ENSAPLG00000000649.2)". The record is from RNAcentral. Lineage: Eukaryota; Metazoa; Chordata; Aves; Anseriformes; Anatidae.
AUUUGCCUGAAAGUAAAAUUUCUUAGAACCAGUGUUUAUACAGCUCUUUUGAAUUGCAUCUCUUUCGCUUUUUUACAUGAGCACGUUUGGCUGAAAAUGGUUGAAAAAUUCAAACAGUAUUCAAACAUCAAGACAUUAUUUUUAAAAAUAUGAUUCUUUUUACUAUAAGACCUUUAGAUUUCUACAUGAACAGAAUAUUUUUUUGUUGUUGUUCCUAGUGCAGAAACACUGGCAUGCUUGUGCUUAGUAAAUACUCAUGUGGGCUGUCUAGUUUCUUGAGCAUCUGUCACUUGUGAAUGAAUGCUUGUGGCAUUUCCUUUGAUGAUAGAGGAGCCUUGCCAGAGUGGUGGUGGUGGUACCUGUUGAAUGCCAUCCUUGCUUCCAGUUACAAAUAUAUCAUUCUCUUUUAUAUAUAUAUAUAUAUAUAUUUUUACCACCCAGGGGUUUACCAGGAAAGGAGCAUGUUGGAGGGAAGGAAACAUGCAUACUAUGUCACUGUGUCAUGUAUCUUUUGGAUCAUAGCUUCCAUAGUUGAGUCAGUCCUACUCUCCUAAACUGAAGAGAAAACGGGCCUCUCUGAAGAGCAGCUUAAGACCCUUCUGGAAGAAUGUAUGCAGCCUCAGAGAACAAUAAGCAACGUUACCAUGCCAAAGUCUCAGGAAUCUCUUUCUUGUGGAUUAAGUCCCCCUUGUUACACAAGUCAAGACUCCACUCUUCACUCCACAUCUACUCUUUCCAAAAUGUUAGUUGAAGACCAUAUUGUAGGGACAUUAACAGCUCAGGAAAAGGCUGGACUUGAAGACAAAAGCUUGUAUGUUAGUGCAGAGAGUGAAAUCCCUGGCUACUAUAUCAGCAAAGCAUUGGCUGAUAGUCACUUAUCAAAGGAUUCACUGGCCCAAACAGAGGAACCUGAUGACCUAGAAGGUUUACAGAAGAUGAGAGAUAAGAGUAUUAAAGAAGGUUACUUUAUGUCAAGAGCACUCAACACAAAAAGGUUGAAGAAACCUUCUUUCUUGGGUGAACCAUUAUACUGCAUCAGCAUGAACAAUGAGCCAUCCACAGAGGCUGACAUUCUCAGCAUACCAGUGCAAACCAAAGGAGAUUAUACGAAGAUUGGAAGUUGA